UUCGCGGGUUGUUAUUACAACAAGGUAUGUUGCAAACCCAGUGAUAAGCAAACCCUAAAACCUAAUCCUAAGUAUCAAUUAAUUACACCAAUGACUCGGGAAUGUCAAUAGCUCGAUAUUUCUCAAAAUCGGCGAGUUUUCAGACUGUACGACAACCCAACGACAAACAAUACGCCAACAAUACGCCAACGCAUAAACAGCCCAACUGGCUGGCGUAUUCGGCGUAUUAAUACGGGCGUAUUAGCUGGCGUAUUAAUAUGGAAUACGGUCGCAUCCCUGCAUACGCUCCAGGAGCUCCAGCCAUGCUUCUGACAGGCGUCUGCUGAUCAGUAAAAUUGCGAUAAAACAAUCUGCAAAAAUUGACGAGGACGGUCUAGACACGAAGACGUAUGGAUGGCGUCCGCGCCUCCUCCGGAACCAACUGCACGACAUUGAGGGACGCUUCCAAAGGCAGUCGCGUGGUAUGCGUCCUUAUAAAAUAUUAGUAGGUUAAAUGUCGGAAACUUUAUGAAUAAUUCUUCUGAAAGGGCAUAGGCUCCGUUUCUCGUUGGGAUGCCACGAUGAUUACAAAGAGGGCCGAGCGACUUAAGCCAGCUAACAACCUACAAGAUGUAACAAUGAUGACAUAACAAACUAAACAACAACAACGACUUAAAUAGUUAUCCAGAGCCUAGGCGGCGCCGGAAGGUCGUACAUUAUCCGUAUCUCAAAUGAUCGUCCACGAGUAAAGUUAACGACUUAACAACUAACAAGAAAACCUAACAUGCCCCCCUGCUUAGCUCAAGCAUCGGCCUCGAUGCGACCAAAGUACAAACUAUGCUAAGUCGUGCGCCGCUCCGAUUCCCUGAACGAAAUCGGUACCAGGCUAACGAGGGGAAGGCAAAAGGGAACCGGAGUCAAGGCAAAACCUUCCCCGCACUGGAUACCGGCCUAAAUAAGGCGCACGACACCUAUAUCUACCGGUCUGAGGAACCGGUAUACGACCCAACGAACGUGUCCAGAAACAUCCACAAAGAGUACGCAAAUCAAAAGCCUAAGGCACGGAAAGCAAACUCGGUGGAUGACAAAAGAACGCAAGAAAACACGAAAGUACACAACAUGCAACACGCAAUACCCCGAAAAAAACAGAAGUCAAGACACGACACGCGCAAAACUGAGGCGAAAUAACCCAAAACUGAAAACACACAGGACACGAGUCACACACAACACACAUCCUAUGCGGAGCGCUAGGUUGUCAUGAAGUGCACUAUCCUCGGGGCCCGUUCCGGAAACUUCGCUCUGAACCAGGCAUAGCGGUCUGACAGCUUAAACGCGGUCCAGGCUGGGGUCGCCAGGAAGGCACGAAGUGCUGGAAGGCUGCGUACGUCAUCGUACGGUUCCCAGGACGCGUCACGGCCACUGGCGGUAGACCACUGAACUAGGAACAUGACGGACGGCCGACCACGACGGUUAUAACCUAGGCGAACUGCAGUAACGAUAGUGUCGGCGUGGUCGUACGGUGACUCCAGUGUGAUGGGCACGGCGGGCGGAGCUGGAGGACGGUUGGGGAAGAGCGUAGGAUCGUUGUCUGUCCACGGAAGCAGGCGGGAGACGUGAAAAACGGGAUGGAUGCGACCGAGGGUAGGUGGAAGUUGGAGGCGGUAAGCGACGGGGGAAAUGACUGCACUAAUGGUAAAAGGGCCGAUGUAGCGAGGUCGGAGUUUUGCGGAGGGGUAGUCGGGUAAGGUGAGGUUAGUGGUGGAGAGGCGAACACGGUCGCCAACUUGGAAGGUGAGGUUGCGGCGGUGUUGGUUGGCGGCGGCAGCGUAUCGAACUUUAGCUGCUUCGAGUUCUGCGGUGAUGGUAGAAUGAAUGUCACGGAUGUGGGCAUGGAGAUCAGCGGCGGCGGUGUGUGCGGGUUUGGAAGGGGGGGUGUUAAUCGUGGCGGGGGUGGUGGGAUGGAAACCGUAGUUGGCGUAAAAUGGGGUGGUGCCGGUGCUGGCGUGGGGAGUGUUGUUGUAGGCAGCUUCGGCGAUGGGCAGGUAGGCAGCCCAGGAAUCUUGCAUGGGCUGAACGUAAGCACGAAGGAUUUGCUCGACGGUGCGAUGGGUACGUUCAGUUUGACCAUCGGUUUGCGGAUGGUAAGCGGAGGAAAGGUUGAGGGAAGUGCCUAAAUGUUCCCAAAAGGUGCGCCAGAUGUCGGCUGUGAAGCGGGGGUCGCGGUCGGAGACGAUGGUGGUGGGGAGGCCAUGAAGACGAUAGAUGUUGGAGAUGGCAAGGAGGGCGAUAUCGCGGGCUGUAGCUGAUUUGUUGGUGGGUACGAAGUGGGCUUGUUUGGAGAACAUGUCGACGAACGUGACAAUGGCGGUGUAGGUGCGACCAUCCAGUCCUUUGGAGGGCGGUAGGUCGGUGAUGAGGUCCAAAGACACAUGAGUCCAUGGUCGUGAAGGCGUAGGCAUGGGAUGGAGGAGGCCAGGCGGAGGCUGAGUAGAUGGUUUUGAGCGCUGGCAGGUGGCGCAGGAUUGUACGUAGGCACGGACUGUGCGGCUCAUAUGUGGCCACCAGUAGCGGGUAGUGAUGGAGGCGAGGGUGCGACGAAAACCGGGAUGACCUGAGUAGGCGGCAUCAUGGAAUUCGUGCAGUAGGCGACGGCGAAGGGCGGGGUCAGCAGGUACAGCGAUGCGGUUGCCAAAGUAGACGAGACCGUCAGGGGAGCGUUGGAGGUAUGGCUUGAUAGUGGCGGGGUUGGAGUACAUGGGGUCGGUGGUGUAACCAGAAAGGAUGGCGGCGGUGAGACUGGGGUCGGGAAGGACAUGGGAGGCGAGAGCAAAGCAGGUGUGGCGGAGCGCGUUGUUGGCGGAGAUGUCGACAGGUGGUUCUGUGGAAGGCCAAAGUGGAACGGAAGAUGGAAGAGACUGUAUGUGAGGCGAUGGUGAGAGGAACGGUGUGGAAGAGACGCUGGAGGGUGGAUCGGGGAAAGGCGGCGGUUGGACAGGGAAGCGAGAGAGAGCGUCGGCCAGGUUUUGUGGCCCAGGGCGGUAGGUGAUGGAGAUGUAGCCUUGAAACGGUGCGAGCAGUUGAGCCCAACGAGCUUGGCGUCGCGAAAGGUCCUUCUGCGUGAAGAAACGCUGUAGAGUGUCGUGGUCGGUGCAUAGCGUGAAGUGGCAACCUUCAAGAUAGCAACGAAACUUACGUACAGCGUGUACGACAGCAAGCAGUUCCAACUCGUGGAUUGGAUAAUUUGCUUCGUGUCGAUUGAGCUUGCGGGACUCGAACGCGACGGGAUGAAGGGCGUUGUCUCGUUCCUGGAGGAGUACUGCUCCGAGGCCAAGGGUAGAGGCGUCCGUAUAGAGGGUGAAGGUGGCUGAGGGACCCGUUUGAGGAAUGAUGAGAGCGGGGGCGGAGGUGAGUGCGUUACGAAGAGCAUGGAAGGCAGCGACGGCGUCGGGCGGUAAGGUCUUGGGAAAGGGCUGGGUGGUUUUGGUAAGCGCGAUGAGAGGGUGGGCGAUGCGGGCGUAGUCCUUGAUGAAACGGCGGUAGAAUCCUGUAAAACCCAGGAAGGCGCGGACGUCGGUGAUGGUGGAGGGAAUGGGGAAAUGGUUGAGGGCUGCAAGUUUGUCGGGGUCGGUUGUGAUGCCGUCGCGGGAAAUGAUGAAGCCACAGAAUUUUGUUGACGGCUGGGCGAAGGAACAUUUUGUGCGGCGGACGUGGAGGUGGUGGUUCUGCAAGGUGCGGAGGACAGCUUCCACGUCGCGGCAAUGGGCUUCGAAGGUGCGUGAGUAGAUGAGGACGUCGUCGAGGUACACGACCGCACACUUGUUGCGGAAGGGGCGGAGGACGUCGUUCAUCAGGGACAUGAACGUAGCAGGGGCGCCGGUGAGUCCGAAAGGAAGGACGAGCCAUUCAUACAGCCCAUACUUACACCGAAAAGCUGUUUUAUGCACGUCCGGUUCGUGCACCCGAACUUGGUGGUAACCCGACCAGAGAUCCAGCUUGGUGAAGUAGGCUGCGCCGUACAGCUGGUCUAGGAGCUCGUCCACACGAGGCAGCGGGUACGCGUUCUUGACGGUGAGCUGGUUGAUCGCACGAAAGUCGACACAGAGGCGUAGUCCGUUGCCGCCGGGUUUGCGGGCGAACAGGAUUGGAGCGCCAAACGGCGACGUAGACGGGCGAAUCCAGCCACGGUCGAGGUAGUCCUUGAGCUGUCGUUCAAGCUCUUGGAGCUCUGCCGGUGACAUACGGUACUCACGUUGCUUCGGCGGCUGGGCGUCGGGGUCGAGGGGAAUGCGGUGAUCGCAAGGGCGGGACGGUGGAAGACCAGUCGGUUCAGAGAAGACAGCGGAGUAUCGGUCGAGGAUGGACUGGAGAGGAGGCGGAGCAGGCGGUAUGGAGGCGGUGGGCUGAGGUGGGGCUUCGGGAUCGAUUUCUGGAUCAUCGAGGGGACGGAGUAUGCCGAGGUAGACUGGUGGAGGUUGAAUAAAGGGGCCACGUUUGCGAGGAUUGGAAGCGGUGGGUGGUGGUGGGCGGGCGCUGGCUUGACGAAUGCAUUUCUGCAUGCGGGCGGCGGAGACGAAUUCGAUGGCGAACAUGGGUGGCUGGGGGGUUGAGCCCGAAAGGAGUGUAUUGCCUAUCGUGACGGUGUUGGACUGCCAAUCGAUGUUGGGGUUGUGCUGGGUUAACCAAGGCUUACCAAGGAUAGCAUCGUACCCGUCAAGGUCCAAGGCGUAGAAGGUGGUAAGCUCAUGGUGGGAUUGGAUGGAGAGGUGGACGUUGGCAAGGGCGGCGGAAGAGAGAGCGAGAUGUCCGUUGGCGAGGCGGACUCGGAAGGCUUGAGACGGUGGAAGAUUGGCGGGACGGAGGUGGGAGCGGUUGAUGAAAUCGUUGGCUAUGAAGUUGCGUGAGGCGCCGGAGUCAAGAAGGAUUCGAGCAGGGCGUCCAGCGAUGUGGGCGUCGAAGACGAUGAGUGUGGAGGAGAGAUCGGCGGCUGUCAGGCGGCCGAGGAUAGGGGGUAGAGGGACCUGUGAAGUGGGUGUGUUUUCGUCGACGGGUGGUAACGGAGGUUGGCGAAGACGGUGGUGCUGCUUGAGUGCUGGACGAGGGAUGGGUUGGGGGCGAGGGAGGGUAGAGUGAGGGGUAGGUGGUGAGACGAGGGGAGAAGCGAAGGAGACGCGCGGAGGUGGAGCGGUUAUACUGGUGGGUGGUUGCGGGGUAGGAGUAGGUGGAGGUACGGGAGCCGUGGAGGGUUGUGGGGCUGGGGGCGAGGGCGAGAAGCGGGCGAUGAGACGGGCGACGUUGGAGCGGGACGGCGGAGGUUGUUCCGCGGUUGGGGGUGUGAGUGGUUUUGGGGUUGCGAAGUGGUGGGUGAGUUGUCGAACACGGGAGGUGGUGGUAAGCGGGGACGACGAAGUAGUUGACGACGUAGGUGACGACAUGGUAGAGGACGGAGGUGACGAAAUAAUUGAGGAUGAAGACGAUGAAGUAGGAGGCAACGAAGACGAGAUAAGAGAGGGCGAAGACGACGAAGUAGUGGACGACGGAGACGACGAAAUAAGAGGAGACGAAGACGACGAAGUAGGGGACGACGGAGACGACGAGAUAAGAGAAGACGAAGACGACGAAGUAGGGGACAACGGAGACGACGAAGUAGGUAAGGAGGUAGUGGACGAAGUGGCGAGCGUGAAGGGGGUGUUGGACGGUGGGUCGUAAAAGACGAUAAGCGGCCAGGGGGAAGGUCCUGGCUCGCCGUACCUGGAGGCGUCGGAGGGGUCGCGGCGGCAGACGAUCCGCGCGCCAGCAGGGAAGCGGCGCACGACGGUCAUGUGGCGUAUGAGAGGAGCCCAGGGGGCUGUAGGACGGUCUGGUAGGACGAUGAUGGCGGAGGUGCGAGGGUUAGUCGUUUUGGACUCCAGGUACUGAGAGAUGAAGGCGGACGGGGACGAGGUAGGCGGGACCAUCCAGACGCACUCGCCAUCGACUUGGGCCGACAGAAAGGAGCGGGACGGCGAGAAGAAGGGAACGACGUGGGCGUUGAUGCCGAAGUCGUCGCAGCAGGCGUCGACGGUGAAGGGGCCAUACUGCGAGUCAAGAUCGAGGAAGACGGUGCGCGAAAGCNNN
Molecule: long non-coding RNA, 6093 nt
Filed under: Volvox carteri
Lineage: Eukaryota; Viridiplantae; Chlorophyta; Chlorophyceae; Chlamydomonadales; Volvocaceae
Description: long non-coding RNA (VCAR_LNC002216)
Source: RNAcentral